CCUACGGGAGGCAGCAGUGAGGAAUAUUGGUCAAUGGACGAGAGUCUGAACCAGCCAAGUAGCGUGAAGGAUGACUGCCCUAUGGGUUGUAAACUUCUUUUAUCAAGGAAUAAAACGAGGCACGUGUGCCUUUUUGCAUGUACUUUAUGAAUAAGGAUCGGCUAACUCCGUGCCAGCAGCCGCGGUAAUACGGAGGAUCCGAGCGUUAUCCGGAUUUAUUGGGUUUAAAGGGAGCGUAGAUGGGUUUUUAAGUCAGUUGGGAAAGUUGGAGGCUCAACCGUAAAAUUGCAAUUGAUACUGGCAGUCUUGAGUACAGUUGAGGUAGGCGGAAUUCGUGGUGUAGCGGUGAAAUGCUUAGAUAUCACGAAGAACCCCGAUUGCGAAGGCAGCUUACUAAACUGUGACUGACAUUGAUGCUCGAAAGUGUGGGUAUCAAACAGGAUUAGAUACCCUAGUAGUC
Molecule: ribosomal RNA, 460 nt
Filed under: uncultured bacterium
Lineage: Bacteria
Description: partial 16S ribosomal RNA
Rfam family: Bacterial small subunit ribosomal RNA
Source: RNAcentral